AUUGGGCGCCGAUUUCCAAUUUUCACAUUUCUUCGCUCUUUAAAUAGGUGAACACUCUGGAGGAGGAACUCUCACAUCGUUCCUGAGGUGACCGAAGCUGAGAUUCAACACAGCACGGUUCGCGCGAAUUCUAUUUAUUUUUGGUUAAUUUCUCCGCGGUUCGAUUUCCUCUCUUGAGCUUUGAUAAGAACACUUUGUCCUUGAAUUUGUGUUUGAUUUUCGACAAAUUUUUGUGUUUGUGAAUUUUAAUCUGGGAUUAUAUCUAUUGGUGACAUAUGAGUAAGGUCAAUUUUGGUCCUAAAGAUACUACCAAAAUACGAAUUUGGUCCAAAAUAUUCACUUUUUGAAAACAGGUCCAUACGAAAUAAAAUCCUUGUCGAAACGGACCUGUUUUUUUACGGUUCCGUCAAAAACCUAACCAUCAUGCCACUAUGUAAUUAGCGUUGACCGUUACUUUUUUACGAAACCGUAAAAAAAAGGACUAUUUCGUCGACAUUUUCAUUUGUUAUGAACCUAUUUUUCAAAAUUGGACAAAACUCGUAUUUUGAUUAUAUGUUUAGGACUAAAAUUGACCUUUACUCUUUUGGUCAUAUUUUGGUUAUCUCCAGAAAAUGGAAGUCAGUAUCCGCGCUGAAUUCCCCAACUCGGACAUAAAGGGUACCCCGCAUGCUACUUCCAAGAUUUUGCUUGGAAAAAGAGCUAAAACAGCCUGCAAGGAAUCUUGUCACCGACUAGGGUGGGCUUCAAUCCCAUGGGAUUUCAAAAUUGACUGUGAUGACGUGAAGUGGGAGUAGAUUGUGAAGAUGGUUUAAUGUAUAUCCAAACUGCGAGUGUCGGCUGAAAAGCAUGCUAAGUUCAUGCAGCCGAAGUCUUCGCCCUUUUGGGAGACAUGGAAGAGCAAUUUUGGUAAGGACCGAGCAACCGGAUCUACAACUGAAGACAUCGGGGAUGCUACUGCACGACGCGUCCCCAGGAAAAUUUGGGAACUGAAUGCAAUGAAAAUGAUUACCACUCAUGUAUGGACGACGUCCGAGAUGAGCAGAGCAGUCCUUAAACAGGGUCGGAACAUUGGGUGAAUUGGCGACUGAAGUGACGUGAAGCUGUGUGGGUUAUUACUAAAAUAUGUAGUAUAGUAUUAUGUCAAAUGUGCAGCUACUGUGUGUGAAUUUUGGUAGACAUUGGAUCAUCGUGUGCUUGGUACCCAUUUUAUUUUGUGGUACGUUAACCAGUUGUGAAAAUUAUAUUACAAGGAUGAAAAUUAACACGA
Salvia splendens (bonfire salvia) is the source of this 1267-nucleotide long non-coding RNA. RefSeq lists it as uncharacterized. Lineage: Eukaryota; Viridiplantae; Streptophyta; Magnoliopsida; Lamiales; Lamiaceae. The record is from RefSeq and is a predicted model, not a curated record. The transcript has 2 exons.